GUGGAUAUUUCCUAUCUGAUCGGCACCAAUAUUCCUGUGCGUAUAUUGGGUAGGCAGACGAUUGAUAACCACAUUUCUACAGAGCCUGUCCCGUACUACAUCCCGGGAGUGCUCAUACAUGAAACAGGCGACCCGUUCCUAACCAUUUGAAGGCCAAGUACAUCCCGCGAUAUGAAUUUGAAGGCGAUUUUGUUGGCAAUCCUAGCCGUGCUGCUUGGACUGCACAUCGUGCAUGUGAAUGCUUCCUGUAACCGGGCAGAAAUGAAAUGGUCAGUCCCAGACUGUGCCAAACACUGCCGAUGUGAGUGUCGUCAACCUGCUUCGUUCUGCACUAGGGUGUGCAAGACCAAGGCAAUACACUGCUAAAAGAAGGUGCUUGAUGCCAAGAAUCUCAGAACCAAUUUCAAACCAUCACGAAAAUUACUGACCAUUCUACUGUAUAGUAAAGAAGAUGACAUUCUAACUGAAUAGGAAUUAUAUAUGGAA
Lineus longissimus is the source of this 486-nucleotide long non-coding RNA. RefSeq lists it as uncharacterized. The record is from RefSeq and is a predicted model, not a curated record. Lineage: Eukaryota; Metazoa; Nemertea; Pilidiophora; Heteronemertea; Lineidae. The transcript has 2 exons.